GAUGAAGAACGCAGCGAAAUGCGAUAAGUAAUGUGAAUUGCAGAAUUCAGUGAAUCAUCGAAUCUUUGAACGCACCUUGCGCCCGCCAGUAUUCUGGCGGGCAUGCCUGUUCGAGCGUCAUUUCAACCAUCAAGCCCCGGGCUUGUGUUGGGGAUCUGCGGCUGCCCGCAGGCCCUGAAAACCAGUGGCGGGCUCGCUGUCACUCCGAGCGUAGUAGCACUCGUAUCUCGCUCAGGGCGUGCCGCGGGCUCCGGUCGUUAAACCGCCUCUUUAGCACCCAAAGGUUGACCUCGGAUCAGGUAGGAGGACCCGCUGAACUUAAGCAUAUCAAUAAGCGGAGGA
Molecule: unclassified non-coding RNA, 342 nt
Filed under: soil metagenome
Description: partial contains 5.8S ribosomal RNA, internal transcribed spacer 2, and large subunit ribosomal RNA
Rfam family: 5.8S ribosomal RNA (bases 1-120)
Source: RNAcentral